AAUUCCAGCUCCAAUAGCGUAUAUUAAAGUUGUUGCAGUUAAAAAGCUCGUAGUUGGACCUUGGGCCUGGACAGGCGGUCCGCCUCACGGCGUGUACUGUCUUGCUGGGCCUUUCCUCUUGGUGAUCUGUGGUUUCGGCCGCAGGGAACCAGGACCUUUACUUUGAAAAAAUUAGAGUGUUCAAAGCAGGCUUUACGCCAGAAUAUAUUAGCAUGGAAUAAUAAAAUAGGACGUGCGGUUCUAUUUUGUUGGUUUUUGGGAUCGCCGUAAUGAUUAAUAGGGACAGUCGGGGGCAUUAGGACUCACAAUGCUAGAGGGUGAAAUCCUUGGAUUUUGGGGAAGACUACC
RNAcentral lists this ribosomal RNA (348 nucleotides) under Malassezia furfur. RNAcentral's name for it is "SSU rRNA". It matches the Rfam family "Eukaryotic small subunit ribosomal RNA", at positions 581 to 940 of the family's 1831-position model. Lineage: Eukaryota; Fungi; Basidiomycota; Malasseziomycetes; Malasseziales; Malasseziaceae. The record is from RNAcentral.